RNAcentral lists this ribosomal RNA (491 nucleotides) under uncultured bacterium. RNAcentral describes it as "partial 16S ribosomal RNA". It matches the Rfam family "Bacterial small subunit ribosomal RNA", at positions 29 to 507 of the family's 1533-position model. The record is from RNAcentral.
AGUGAACGCUGGCGGUAGGCCUAACACAUGCAAGUCGAACGGCAGCACAGUAAGAGCUUGCUCUUCGGGUGGCGAGUGGCGGACGGGUGAGGAAUACAUCGGAAUCUACUUUUUCGUGGGGGAUAACGUAGGGAAACUUACGCUAAUACCGCAUACGACCUACGGGUGAAAGCAGGGGAUCUUCGGACCUUGCGCGAUUGAAUGAGCCGAUGUCGGAUUAGCUAGUUGGCGGGGUAAAGGCCCACCAAGGCGACGAUCCGUAGCUGGUCUGAGAGGAUGAUCAGCAACACUGGAACUGAGACACGGUCCAGACUCCUCGGGGAGGCAGAAGUGGGGAAUAUUGGACAAUGGGCGCAAGCCUGAUCCAGCCAUACCGCGUGGGUGAAGAAGGCCUUCGGGUUGUAAAGCCCUUUUGUUGGGAAAGAAAAGCAGCAGGUUAAUACCCCGCUGUUCUGACGGUACCCAAAGAAUAAGCACCGGCUAACUUCGUG